This 482-nucleotide ribosomal RNA is filed under the name uncultured bacterium. RNAcentral describes it as "partial 16S ribosomal RNA". It matches the Rfam family "Bacterial small subunit ribosomal RNA", at positions 28 to 523 of the family's 1533-position model. The record is from RNAcentral.
AGUGAACGUUGGCGGCGUGGAUUAGGCAUGCAAGUCGAGCGAGAACCGUAGCAAUACGGGGACAGCGGCGAAAGGGACAGUAAUGUGUAGGUACCUACCUCCGGGUUCGGGAUAGCUGCGGGAAACUGCAGGUAAUACCGAAUAGCGUCUCCGGACCGAAGGUGUGAUUCCACCUGGAGAGGGGCCUGCAUCCUAUUAGCUUGUUGGCGGGGUAACGGCCCACCAAGACGACGAUGUGUAGCGGGUGUGAGAGCACGACCCGUGUCAUUGGGACUGAGACACUGCCCAGACACCUACGGGUGGCUGCAGUCGUGAAUCUUCGGCAAUGGGCGCAAGCCUGACCGAGCGACGCCGCGUGCGGGAUGAAGGCCUUCGGGUUGUAAACCGCUGUCGUAGAGGAGGAAAUGCAGGGGGGUUCUCCCCUCUGUUUGACCUAUUCUAGGAGGAAGUACGGGCUAAGUUCGUGCCAGCCGCCGCAGUAA